GACCCCAUAGUUCAAUGGAUAGAAUACUUCCGUCCUAAGGAAUAGAUCUGCGUUCGAGUCGCGGUGGGGUUACCA
This 75-nucleotide transfer RNA is filed under the name bacterium. RNAcentral's name for it is "tRNA-Arg". It matches the Rfam family "tRNA". Rfam says of the family: Transfer RNA (tRNA) molecules are approximately 80 nucleotides in length. Their secondary structure includes four short double-helical elements and three loops (D, anti-codon, and T loops). The record is from RNAcentral.